GAUGAAGAACGUAGCAAAAUGCGAUACUUGGUGUGAAUUGCAGAAUCCCGUGAACCAUCGAGUCUUUGAACGCAAGUUGCGCCCGAAGCCAUUAGGCCGAGGGCACGUCUGCCUGGGCGUCACACAACGUUGUCCCCCCACACCUCGACUUCCAAGAGGACGGGGGGCAGAUGCUGGCCUCCCGUGCGCCACGGCUCGCGGUUGGCCCAAAUGCGAGUACUCGGCGACGAGCGCCGCGGCAAUCGGUGGUUGUCCAACCCUCGGUGCCAUGCUGCGCGCGCUAGCCGCUCACUGUUACUCGACGACCCCAAUGCGUCGUAUCCACGACGCUCACAACACGAACCCAGGUCAGGCGGGGCUACCCGCUGAGUUUAAGCAUAUCAAUAAGCGGAGGA
RNAcentral lists this unclassified non-coding RNA (395 nucleotides) under soil metagenome. RNAcentral describes it as "partial contains 5.8S ribosomal RNA, internal transcribed spacer 2, and large subunit ribosomal RNA". The stretch from base 1 to 122 matches the Rfam family "5.8S ribosomal RNA", at positions 35 to 154 of the family's 154-position model. The record is from RNAcentral.